This 194-nucleotide unclassified non-coding RNA is filed under the name Ruminococcus sp. RNAcentral describes it as "signal recognition particle sRNA large type". The stretch from base 61 to 159 matches the Rfam family "Bacterial small signal recognition particle RNA". From Rfam's summary of the family: The signal recognition particle (SRP) is a universally conserved ribonucleoprotein involved in the co-translational targeting of proteins to membranes. Archaeal SRP consists of a 7S RNA and homologues of the eukaryotic SRP19 and SRP54 proteins. The record is from RNAcentral. RNAcentral also lists the same sequence under 1 other name. Lineage: Bacteria; Bacillati; Bacillota; Clostridia; Eubacteriales; Oscillospiraceae.
UUAUACAGAGCGUAUGUCUGCUCAAAAUUCAGUUUCAGAAGGAAAUUCCGAAAUAUAGAUGUGCGGGCCCUGUGCAACGAGACCCCGUGAACCAUGUCAGGCGGGAGACCGAGCAGCAUUAAGCGGAUCGUUUUGUGUGCCGCAGCAAGCCUGCACAUCUAUGUUCCGGAAUUUUUUUAAAGCGGAGGAUAUAA